This 463-nucleotide ribosomal RNA is filed under the name uncultured bacterium. RNAcentral's name for it is "bacterial SSU rRNA". It matches the Rfam family "Bacterial small subunit ribosomal RNA", at positions 335 to 793 of the family's 1533-position model. The record is from RNAcentral.
CUCCUGGGAGGCAGCAGUGGGGAAUAUUGCACAAUGGGCGCAAGCCUGAUGCAGCCAUGCCGCGUGUAUGAAGAAGGCCUUCGGGUUGUAAAGUACUUUCAGCAGUGAGGAAGGUGGGUAUGUUAAUAGCAUACUCAUUUGACGUUAGCUGCAGAAGAAGCACCGGCUAACUCCGUGCCCAGCAGCCGCGGUAAUACGGAGGGUGCGAGCGUUAAUCGGAAUUACUGGGCGUAAAGCGCAUGCAGGUGGUUUGUUAAGUCAGAUGUGAAAGCCCGGGGCUCAACCUCGGAAUUGCAUUUGAAACUGGCAAACUAGAGUACUGUAGAGGGGGUAGAAUUUCAGGUGUAGCGGUGAAAUGCGUAGAGAUCUGAAGGAAUACCGGUGGCGAAGGCGGCCCCCUGGACAGAUACUGACACUCAGAUGCGAAAGCGUGGGGAGCAAACAGGAUUAGAUACCCUGGUAG